UACGAAGGGGGCUAGCGUUGUUCGGAAUUACUGGGCGUAAAGCGCGCGCAGGCGGUUCUCCAAGUCAGUGGUGAAAGCCCGGAGCUCAACUCCGGAACUGCCAUUGAAACUGUUGAACUUGAGGACGAGAGAGGUGAGUGGAAUUCCCAGUGUAGAGGUGAAAUUCGUAGAUAUUGGGAAGAAACACCAGUGGCGAAGGCGGCUCACUGGCUCGGUUUCUGACGCUCAG
This 229-nucleotide ribosomal RNA is filed under the name uncultured bacterium. RNAcentral describes it as "partial 16S ribosomal RNA". It matches the Rfam family "Bacterial small subunit ribosomal RNA", at positions 524 to 750 of the family's 1533-position model. The record is from RNAcentral.